AGAGUUUGAUCAUGGCUCAGAACGAACGCUGGCGGCAGGCUUAACACAUGCAAGUCGAACGCCCCGCAAGGGGAGUGGCAGACGGGUGAGUAACGCGUGGGAAUCUACCCUUUUCUACGGGAUAGCUCCGGGAAACUGGAAUUAAUACCGUAUAAGCCCUUCGGGGGAAAGAUUUAUCGGGAAAGGAUGAGCCCGCGUUGGAUUAGCUAGUUGGUGAGGUAACGGCCCACCAAGGCGACGAUCCAUAGCUGGUCUGAGAGGAUGACCAGCCACAUUGGGACUGAGACACGGCCCAAACUCCUACGGGAGGCAGCAGUGGGGAAUAUUGGACAAUGGGCGCAAGCCUGAUCCAGCCAUGCCGCGUGAGUGAUGAAGGCCCUAGGGUUGUAAAGCUCUUUCAGUGGGGACGAUAAUGACGGUACCCACAGAAGAAGCCCCGGCUAACUUCGUGCCAGCAGCCGCGGUAAUACGAAGGGGGCUAGCGUUGUUCGGAAUUACUGGGCGUAAAGCGCACGUAGGCGGAUAUUUAAGUCAGGGGUGAAAUCCCGGGGCUCAACCCCGGAACUGCCUUUGAUACUGGGUAUCUUGAGUGUGGUAGAGGUGAGUGGAAUUGCGAGUGUAGAGGUGAAAUUCGUAGAUAUUCGCAGGAACACCAGUGGCGAAGGCGGCUCACUGGACCACAACUGACGCUGAGGUGCGAAGGCGUGGGGAGCAAACAGGAUUAGAUACCCUGGUAGU
Molecule: ribosomal RNA, 738 nt
Filed under: uncultured bacterium
Lineage: Bacteria
Description: bacterial SSU rRNA
Rfam family: Bacterial small subunit ribosomal RNA
Source: RNAcentral